Hemicordylus capensis (graceful crag lizard) is the source of this 295-nucleotide long non-coding RNA. RefSeq lists it as uncharacterized. NCBI's taxonomy places the organism in Eukaryota, Metazoa, Chordata, Lepidosauria, Squamata, Cordylidae. The record is from RefSeq and is a predicted model, not a curated record. The transcript is spliced from 3 exons.
AUCCUCCAACCUCUGCAGCUGUGAAGUGCACUGUUACUUAACAGGGCAACUAACCAUCCACCUAGGUGGAAUGAAGGGAAACUGUCUGUGGUGAGCUGUGGCUGGAAGAAGAUACCGGAUCAGAUCCAGGAAUAAAAAGCUUAGAGAAUGUUUGGGAACAGAAGCUGCAAAUAUUACCAUUGCGACAUAAUCUUGACAUCUAUACGCAGCUGCUGGGAGGAAUCAUCUAACAAUUGGAGUGCAUUGGAGUAUGCCAGUAUUACUGAGCUCUACAUUUCAUUUUUAUCUGGAACAG